GUCAUCGAGGUCUGUCCCAGACUCCGAGAUCUGCUCAUCUCUGCCGAACCUCCCACUGCCCCACAGGGAGCAGAAGACGAGGAGGAUCAGGGGGACGACCCAGAUCUUCCGCAGCUGCCUAACCUCUGCUCUCUCACACUCAACUUCUCCUAUGAGCACAGCCAAAUGAAGCCCGUCAUGUCCUGGAUGUCCCUGAGAAGGGUGCUCAAGUGUCUCCUGGCUGGUUCUCCUUUACUGGAGAAGCUCUCACUGGUCUCCCUGCCCUGCCCUCUGAACUGCGUUUUAAAGGAUGUACUACACGUAAUGGACUUGGACCAGUAUCUCUUUGCAAAUUCCACAAACUCACCUCCCAUGCCACUUGGACGGAUACAGCGUAUUGACCUGCCGCGCACUGAUGUGAAGAUGAUAAGUGAGAAGUUUAAUGCAACGGAGCAAGAGACUCAAUCAUGUAGAUGUGAGUCACUGCUGGCGGAUCAGUCAGCUCGAGUGGUUGAACUGCGAGACGUCCAGUAAAGUCCAAGUUGUCUGGUUGUGAAGAGAUGAGCGGCUUCCCAUACGGGAGCAACACUGUUAAAGGUGGACGUGAAGGAGGAUAAAUCAAUUAUUCAGAUAAAAAUACAAUGCAUACCUUUUACCAUGUCAAUUACAUUCGUAUCUCAACUCGUAUGACUACAACUCUAUAACUUGUCUUACUUCCUAUUCAAUGCUAAACAUUGAUUUUACAGACUGUUUUUUUUCACUGACAAACUGCAAUUUGUUCUUAAUACCUGUCUCAAAUCCAACCAUGUUAUUCCGAUAGGACCUUAAAUACAUUGUAUGAUAUCAAUAUGUGUGAGGUUGUCCUUUCAGGACACCAUACAAGUAAAAAAAUCACGAGAUGUUUCAAGUUGUUCUUUGAUUUUUUUCAAUGUUGAAUAUUUGAUAUAGACUUAGCAAAGGAUACCCAUAUUACUCCCUAUGUUUAUGGUAUUUUGAAACAACCCAGACUGAUAAAGUUGUUUUCUCCUAUAUUCCUAUAGUACCUUACAUUGUAUCAAUAUGUGUGAGGUGGUCCUUUCAGGACACCAUACAAGUAAAAGAAUCACAAGAUGAUUUUUAAAAAUGUUAAAUAUUUGAUAUAGACCUAGCAAAGGGUACUGUCGUGUUGUAAUGGUUUGUAUAUAUAUUUGCACAUGAAAAUAAGAAAGUCUAUGGUUUUAAAUUAAUACAUAAGAAAGCUAGGAUAAACGAUAAAGGAUAUUAUGAAGGAUAUUCCAAAGAAUGUAUUAUGAAAACAUAGAAAGUCCCUGUCACUGAAAAUAUGAUUAUUGUAUUAUUCUUGCAACUGUACUACUGACUGUAAGAUGUGUUGUGCUUAUUAUAAUUAUGGCAAGACGUGAGGAUGAAUGAAAUGUAUUGAUUUUGGGAGGCGUAGUCAGAAUGGGAGUUUCUACUAGAUCUCGUCAUAACAGCUGUUUUAACCGGAACCGGAAGUAUAUAUGAUUUGUGAUCCUUAUUCUUUUAUUAAAUACCUUAUAUUAUAA
This is a long non-coding RNA of Pseudoliparis swirei, 1523 nucleotides long. RefSeq lists it as uncharacterized. The record is from RefSeq and is a predicted model, not a curated record. The transcript has 2 exons. Lineage: Eukaryota; Metazoa; Chordata; Actinopteri; Perciformes; Liparidae.